Molecule: ribosomal RNA, 253 nt
Filed under: uncultured bacterium
Lineage: Bacteria
Description: partial 16S ribosomal RNA
Rfam family: Bacterial small subunit ribosomal RNA
Source: RNAcentral
UACGGAGGGUGCGAGCGUUGUCCGGAAUCACUGGGCGUAAAGGGCGCGUAGGCGGCCUGAUAAGUAGGGGGUGAAAUCCUGCGGCUUAACCGCAGGGCUGCCUUCUAAACUGUCAGGCUCGAGCACAGUAGAGGCAGGUGGAAUUCCCGGUGUAGCGGUGGAAUGCGUAGAGAUCGGGAAGAACAUCAGUGGCGAAGGCGGCCUGCUGGGCUGUUGCUGACGCUGAGGCGCGACAGCGUGGGGAGCAAACGGG